GCCCGAGUGGCGGAAUGGUAGACGCAGGGGAUUCAAAAUCCCCCGCCGCAAGGCGUGCCGGUUCGAGUCCGGCCUCGGGUACCA
This 84-nucleotide transfer RNA is filed under the name Rhodovulum sp. RNAcentral's name for it is "tRNA-Leu". It matches the Rfam family "tRNA". Rfam says of the family: Transfer RNA (tRNA) molecules are approximately 80 nucleotides in length. Their secondary structure includes four short double-helical elements and three loops (D, anti-codon, and T loops). Lineage: Bacteria; Pseudomonadati; Pseudomonadota; Alphaproteobacteria; Rhodobacterales; Paracoccaceae. RNAcentral also lists the same sequence under 20 other names. The record is from RNAcentral.